Drosophila guanche is the source of this 857-nucleotide long non-coding RNA. RefSeq lists it as uncharacterized. The record is from RefSeq and is a predicted model, not a curated record. NCBI's taxonomy places the organism in Eukaryota, Metazoa, Arthropoda, Insecta, Diptera, Drosophilidae. The transcript has 2 exons.
UUGUAUUUUUCAGAGUCAAUUAAAAAUUGUAAAUUUUACUUAUAAUUUUAAGGUAGGCAAAAUGCAAUGCGACCAACGACGACGGCGACGGCGACAAGCGAUGAAAAAAAAAAAAAAUUGCAAUUACAAUUUUUCGCGUCUUUGUCACGGCAACAUACACGGCGCGCGGCGUUAGGCAGUUCAGCAUUGCAGCCGGAAGACGGAGCGGACGGAGACGAAGGUUGGGCACCCGCUUGAUGGCGUCAAAUUUGGCGUUGAAUGAACCUCACCCCAAUCACACCACAAUGCCCCCUGUCCCCGACUUGAAGGAUGGGAUCUGAUAGUUGUCGCAGCAGAAGAUCGGGUGAACUGUUUGCGUGGCCCAUUGCAAGCACUAAGAUGCAUCCGUGCCGACAUGGAAGGGUAAUUGUGUUGAUUGAAGAUACAAAUGUACAUAUUCAAAUGCAUCUGUAGAUUGCUGUGAAUGGAAAUGUGCACAUCACACACGUGGGCUAUAUAUCAAAUAUUAAGGCAAGUGGAAACCAAGCGCACAGCAGGUCUUACGAAGGUCUAUUGCGGAGCAAACCCUAAAAGUUGCUAUAAGAUAAUACAUAUAUUCUUAAGUUGAAAUAAGUUGAACUGUUUUCCUAACGUUGAGCUUCAAUGGCCCGUUACCUAAGAAUACUUCAUAGUUACUGUCAUAAUAGUUUAAAUGUAAAAGGAUAGCUCCGCUGAUCGCUAGCAACCUUAAAAGUCCAUCUUUCAAUAGGCCCUCACUCUUGGAUCCUGGAUUCGAGGCAUUGAAUCAACAUGUGGACUUAUUUGCGGUGGACAUAUUUUGCAUUUGAUUUUAAUACACUUUAACGCAAUCAAUUUUA